Molecule: ribosomal RNA, 491 nt
Filed under: uncultured bacterium
Lineage: Bacteria
Description: bacterial SSU rRNA
Rfam family: Bacterial small subunit ribosomal RNA
Source: RNAcentral
GAUGAACGCUAGCGGCAGGCUUAACACAUGCAAGUCGAGGGGCAGCAUGAUGAAACUUUCGGGUUUCAUUGAUGGCGACCGGCGCAAGGGUGCGUAACGCGUGAGCAACUUGCCCUUAUCAGGGGGAUAACCGGUGGAAACGCCGACUAAUACCCCAUAGUAUGUUUUUAAGGCAUCUUUUAAACAUUAAAGAAUUUCGGAAACGGAUAGGCUCGCGUGACAUUAGGUAGAUGGCGGGGUAACGGCCCACCAUGCCCACGAUGUCUAGGGGUUCUGAGAGGAAGGUCCCCCACACUGGAACUGAGACACGGUCCAGACUCCUACGGGAGGCAGCAGUGAGGAAUAUUGGUCAAUGGCCGGAAGGCUGAACCAGCCAAGUAGCGUGAAGGAUGAAGGUUCUAUGGAUUGUAAACUUCUUUUAUACGGGAAUAAAACCUCCCACGUGUGGGAGCUUGUAUGUACCGUAUGAAUAAGCAUCGGCUAACUCCGUG